UUUAUUUUAUUUUUUUCAAACAUCAUCCCUUUCUUAUGUGUGCUUGUCAUGGAUAUUAUGAACACCAGCCACUGGGCCCAAUACUGGUACGCUCUGGCGGGUGUUGGUACGUUUUUGUACACUACUUCUUCACUGCCCCAUUCACCAGGUAUUAAACAGGAAGGGAAUCUACUGAGAGCACAUUCCACUUAUGUAAAGAAGACAGGCAGGUGAGGCUGAGAGCAUUAUUUCAUUACUUGUUGUUGUUUUGGUUUGCGAUGUUCCUACCAGUUAUUUAUGAAGAGAGUCCAGUUUGAGAUGAAGUGAAUCACUCGGAAAUACAAAUGGUCGGCUUUGACUUUUCAACGGGAGCGCGCGCGCACACACACACACACACACACACACACACACACACACAGGAUCUCUCUUUCUCUCUGCUCACAGCUAAACUAAAUCAGUUUUCUCUCCCUCGCCUUGCCUUCAUAGCUAUUUAUUGUUUUAGCAGAAAUAUAUACCUUUUAAUGUAAAUAGUUUACAGAAAGAAGUGUCUAUCAGCAGAUGUAUUUAUUAGAUAAAUCUAUAGAUGAAUAUACAAAAACAAUCUAUUUAAUUAGUUAUAGCUUAUGUUCUUCUUGUGAGGUUUGAGAGUUUCCUAUAUGUAGUUUGUUUGCACAGCCUAGUCAAUCCAUAAAAUAUUGAGAAAUGUCUCUUUGUGCCUCGAGGCUUUAGUGUCUGUCUGAAUUCAGCACGGUGCUCCUAGGAAGUGAUUUCUUUGUGGCUGAUUCUGAUUUUUCUUUUAGCCAUUUUCGAAGCCCAUAAGAGAAGGAUAAUGGGACAAAAAAACUGAAGAACUUAAAAAAGAAAAUGAUUAGAAAGUAGAAAAAGCGAGAGGAGCAGGUGUCCGGGUCAAGCGCAGUGGCGCUGCCGGUUUACCUCCCAACACCCCUUUCCCUCCCCCACGCCCGUGCCUCAGACAAAAUGGCUCUUGAGCCUUGUGAGAUUUUUUUUUCUUCUUCUUUUUCUUUUUACCCCACCUCUUCCUCCUCCUCCUCCUCCUCUUCGCGUGUGGUUCCCAGUCAUCACGGGCAGGGACAGGAGCGCAGAUCUGUUGUCGUUUCUUCUGAAUGUACGCGUUAUCAACCCCUGCAGUCGUAGCAGCACGGUGCCAAAAGAAGCUCCCUGCGUGUUGUGCAUGCGCCACUUGCAGAUCUCAGUUUAAAGCAUGAUGAUGGUACGCCAAAAAACACAAAAACACAAAAAAAAGGAGGAAAAAAAAGGAAAGCAGAAAAAUAGAUAUGAGAUUGUUUAGUCGUUGAGUGUCGAACGCUGCUUAUUUUUGUCCAAACGGAGAGGGACUGUGCAGCCACGCUAACCAGGUGGGGGUUGGGGGGGUGGGGGUGUUGAAAAGUAGGUGUGAGUGGGCAGGUGUGUUCACUGUAAUGCCAUCUGUCGGUGCAUACGUGUGUGUACAGUAUGUGAGCGUGUGUGUGUGUGUGAGUUUACUGCAUUAUUGUCUUCAGAGAUGUAUUUUUUUGGUAGUAGAGGGUGGGUGAUUUUAAAAACAUUGUAAAUCCAUGUUUCUGUUUAUUUGUUUUAUUUGAAGAAGAGCAUUAAUGUCUUUCUGUGGUAGCCACCAUUUUUUUUUCUCUCCUCCCCAUCCAUCGUCUCAUUUCUGUCUUCCACUAAUCUCUGUGUGUGUGUGUGUGUCUGGGCAGUGUACUGUAUGUGUCAGUGAUCACAUCGCACCCCUCUCACUUCCAGUACAAAGACCCUGGUGCUCUCAGCAUCUGCCUUAAGAAGCAGGUGUGGAAUCUCUCAAAGAACAAGACUACAGUCAGACCAGUUGUUUAAGCUACAGCUUUCCACAUCAGGGGAAAACUCACGUUCAUGUGUAUAUUUGGCUUUUCUUUUCUUUUUUUGCACACUUUUAUCCCUGCAUACAAAGCGGCUCAAAACGGACACACCUGUUACGGCCUAACAGACGCAUACAGUGUGUUUACGACAACAGCGACGUGCAUCACAAAGGUCAUUCCCUUCUUUUCUUCUUCGUGACGGGUCUCAGGCGUGGUGCUCUCAUCGCAUUAGACACAAAACACACAAGACAACACCCCCUCGUCACGGCUCCAUCGAACAUCGUCGUCACCUCCUGCCUUUCUUCUCAGAAAGGUCAAACGUCUGUUUGCUGAAUAAUAACAUUAAGGUUUGUGCACUUAACUUUUUAAGAAAUUGGAGAAUUUGGACACUGUCUUCUAAAGAAAUCUCUUCAAAUGUAAGAGAGGGGAGAAACAGCCCCCCUUUGAUAAUGAAUCGUUGAGCAGCAAUUUAUAUUUGCCAGUGAUAUUAAAAUGAAUUAAACAUUUGAAACCCUUGUUUACCUAC
This is a long non-coding RNA of Astatotilapia calliptera (eastern happy), 2358 nucleotides long. Lineage: Eukaryota; Metazoa; Chordata; Actinopteri; Cichliformes; Cichlidae. The record is from Ensembl.